AAUAAACACGUGAAAUAAUUCACAAAAAAAUAUUCGAAUAAUUUAAAUUAAAGUGACCCCUCCAUGUGGCCUAUGCUUUAGGUUUGUAACUUCAUGCCGAACCACUAUCCAUGAGGAAAAUCUUAGACAAAACGAAGUAAGAUUAAUUAGUUACCUGGAUCUGAUCACCGAUGUUGACAAUAAAAGCAUGAGGGCUUGGCUUCACUGUGAUCCAGCUAUCGUUCUUUCGGACUUGAAGUCCGGCAACAUGUUGGUCCGGAAGAAGAAAGGUGAUCCCUCCGGGAUCCGAGUGAGACGAGAGCCCUAAGGUCAAAUCAGGCUGGGGACAUUUUGGAUAAAAAUUCACUCUCAAACAAGCUCCAAUGUCCUCUCCUCCAAAAGCAUUUUGAAGAUGAUUCUCGCUCAAUCCGAGAUUUAUAGAUAAAACCUUCAUUAGUUCACCACCGAAUUUCACUACUUGCCUCGAGUACUCGGCAACCACUUCCCUACAAUAAUCACAAUAUCUUAUAUCAUUCUUGAUUAUUCACAUCAUUUCCAUAGAUUUUGUGAAACUUAAUUUAUUAUAAGCCUGAGACGAAUCUCAACCUUAUCACACUUAUUAAUCAACGCACAAUUUUCUUAAAAAAACUGACGUCAAUAACUCAACGUGUAUAUCUGANCAAGCAAAACAUCAUAAUUAAGAGACCAAUAAUAUAUUUGAUAUUUGCGCGGUUCAAUUUACCAUAGUUUCUUUAUUUUGAAUAUGAUGUUAAUUACUGAAUCCUUUGAGUGUACAAUUAAAAUUAUUAUUUUCUAAUUUUUCAAUAAAAAUAUAUGGUUCGUAUUAUAAGUCAGAAGACAAAAUUUUUUAAAAAUAACAAUUUAACUAAAUGAUCAAACGACUUAGAAAUAUAUUUCAAAAAAUCACGCGACCUAUAUUUUUAAAAUCUAGGGAGUAGUUCGAAGAAGUACCAUAUUUAAUUUAAUAUACUUUAUCUAGGGUUUAGUAUAUUAAACUUUGAGAUGCAUGAUCUAGAAAAUCUAAGAAAAGGCCACCAGUCCGGCUCUUUAAUUAUACUUAACUAUAAAGGCAUAAAUGGUUUUUCUCAUCCAUAAGCUGCGUACCUGAAUUUUGACUCCACGAAGCUAGAUUCAAAAACGUAAAAGGGGGAAAUAAACACGUGAAAUAAUUCACAAAAAAAUAUUCGAAUAAUUUAAAUUAAAGUGACCCCUCCAUGUGGCCUAUGCUUUAGGUUUGUAACUUCAUGCCGAACCACUAUCCAUGAGGAAAAUCUUAGACAAAACGAAGUAAGAUUAAUUAGUUACCUGGAUCUGAUCACCGAUGUUGACAAUAAAAGCAUGAGGGCUUGGCUUCACUGUGAUCCAGCUAUCGUUCUUUCGGACUUGAAGUCCGGCAACAUGUUGGUCCGGAAGAAGAAAGGUGAUCCCUCCGGGAUCCGAGUGAGACGAGAGCCCUAAGGUCAAAUCAGGCUGGGGACAUUUUGGAUAAAAAUUCACUCUCAAACAAGCUCCAAUGUCCUCUCCUCCAAAAGCAUUUUGAAGAUGAUUCUCGCUCAAUCCGAGAUUUAUAGAUAAAACCUUC
RNAcentral lists this long non-coding RNA (1582 nucleotides) under Daucus carota (carrot). Its description in RNAcentral is "long non-coding RNA (DCAR_LNC002441)". Lineage: Eukaryota; Viridiplantae; Streptophyta; Magnoliopsida; Apiales; Apiaceae. The record is from RNAcentral.